RNAcentral lists this ribosomal RNA (429 nucleotides) under Bacteroidota bacterium. RNAcentral describes it as "Bacteroidetes bacterium partial 16S ribosomal RNA". It matches the Rfam family "Bacterial small subunit ribosomal RNA", at positions 355 to 776 of the family's 1533-position model. The record is from RNAcentral. Lineage: Bacteria; Pseudomonadati; Bacteroidota.
UAGGGAAUCUUCGGCAAUGGGGGGAACCCUGACCGAGCAACGCCGCGUGAGUGAAGAAGGUUUUCGGAUCGUAAAGCUCUGUUGUUAAGGAAGAACGAGUGUGAGAAUGGAAAGUUCAUACUGUGACGGUACUUAACCAGAAAGGGACGGCUAACUACGUGCCAGCAGCCGCGGUAAUACGUAUGUCCCGAGCGUUGUCCGGAUUUAUUGGGCGUAAAGCGCGCGCAGGCGGUUAGAAAAGUCUGAAGUGAAAGGCAGUGGCUCAACCAUUGUAGGCUUUGGAAACUGAUUAACUUAAGUGCAGAAGGGGAGAGUAGAAAUCCAUGUGUAGCGGUAAAAUGCGUAGAUAUAUGGAGGAACACCGGUGGCGAAAGCGGCUCUCUGGUCUGUAACUGACGCUGAGGCUCGAAAGCGUGGGGAGCGAACAGG